Molecule: long non-coding RNA, 407 nt
Filed under: Mustela putorius furo (domestic ferret)
Lineage: Eukaryota; Metazoa; Chordata; Mammalia; Carnivora; Mustelidae
Description: lncRNA (ENSMPUG00000024556.1)
Source: RNAcentral
GCUAUUUCCUCAAUAAUUCAUCAGUUGUCCCUUCUACUCUGUCCUGAGCUAUCUCUCAUCAUAUUAACCAGGUCACAGACAAGGUCUCAGCUGUGUCCACAGUGUUGUAUACCUACAGAAAUGAGGGCCUCUGUUAACCAAAAAAAUUACUCUGUUAACCAAAAGUUAUAUACAAGAAUGUGCACAUCUAGAAACAACCUACGUGUCCAUCAGCAGAACGGAUAAACAAGCUGUGGUAUUAGACUCUUAUACAGCAGUGAGAAUGGGAACUAUGAACCAUAGCUAUAUACAACAUUGUGAAGGAAUUUCACAAAUGUAAUGUUGAAUGAAAAUAAGCCAAAAAUAAAAAGUAUAUGUUGUUUGGUUCCAUUUAUUUAAAGUUAAGACAUUGCCACAAUUAAAAGUCC